UAAUUCAGAGUAAGAUUAUCUACCACAUUCUAUAAAUGUUUAUUAAGAAAUUACUAAAAAAAAUCUUAAAAAUAAACUUACUUUUGUGGAUUCAUGUUUAAUUUUCAUGUUCCAAGAACUGCUGGAUUUCCCAGGGGCUGCCCCCUUUAUUCAUUCUAAGUCCCUAGACUUAAAACUUUUAAAACACGUUUAAAAAAAAGAAGAAAGAAGAUUGAUCUUGUACUUUUCAAGGAUUAUUUGCCAGGCUGAAUUCCCUGAAGUCUAUUGGUGUUCGAGGUAUAAGAAAUACUUAUCAUAGGAAAAGAGUCAUCUCUCAAGACCCCUUCUUUUAUGAAAUAGCCCUAGGCAGACAAUGAACAUCCUGGUGUGCUUUGUGAUGUCAGAGAGACCUGAGGCCAUGAUCAGAUGGGUCAAGUCAUAGAACUGAGUCUUAUUCUCUAGGUGACUGAAGAAGCUCCUCUAAUUUUCUUUGACUGCCCAGGACCAUUUUUUUUUUCUGAAAAAACCAACCAACCAACCAACCAACCUUAUUUUCUGAGUUCUUUUGUAUCUGCUCAGGAUUUGGUUAUUAGUCCCACCAAUAAGGCAAGCUUGAGGCCUAGAACGUACUUGGAAUUGGGCUGUUCCAGUGUUCUCCUCUUUUUUAAAAACAUCCUACUAAUAGAAAUCCUCCUGUAGUUGUAUGGGGAGAAAACAAAGGGUAUUUUCUAAAGAUGGGAUCUUUUACCUCAUCUGCAUAUUGUAUGAAUGAUACCUCCCUUGCCUAAUCAGGACUUCCUGUGUGGAAUCAAUGAAGUGAUGCAUAUGAAAGUUUUUGGAAAGCUAUAAGAUGAUGUCCCACCUUCCAGAGCCAAUCCAAGGUCCUCAGACGGGCCUCUGUUACCAGGCCAAAGUGGUGUGGCUACCAUGUCCUCCCCAUCGGAUUUCGCCACUGUGGGAACAAGACCCCUAUUUGAGGGCUGAGCAAAUGUCUUUCAAGCACCAGGAAAGACCCGUCCAGUCACUGCCCCAUCCUCGCCCCAGGACUGAACCAAUGCCCUCCUCACAUUUCAGACCUCCGGUCAUAACUGUCCAGCCACCUUGCCCCGCUCCUAGAACAGUUGCGAAGCCACUGCCUCAUCUUCAGCACCAGCCUAGGGCCAAUCAUUUACCCUCGCAUCCCAAACACCACGUAGUCUUUCCCUUAAGCAGGCCUGAUGUCCCACCCAACAAGCCUGCCAUGACUCUGACGUUCAGUAAGCAGUGCCCUCCGCUUUACUCCCGACAUCAGCCUGUGAUUCCUUUGGAUCUCAAUCCCCAGGCAGAAGCUUCUUCAGGCUCUAAACACUUCCCAAAGAUCUUCCCAGACUGUGGCCAUCUAGCUGAGGACCUAAGCCGUUACAGAGAGCGGGCCCCCUAUCCAUCGUUUGCGGAGGCCCCCCCACGGGAAGUCCCCAGAGCCAUGUACAUAGCCGUACCCCAGACGGGCCCCAGCCCGUCGGUCCGGGUUGCAACCAUACCAGUGAGCUCCGGUCAUCAGAUGGGACCUUUGCCUAAACCCAAGCGUCGGAUCCGGGCCACAAAUGCUCUGCUAGGAUUUUUAAAACUGGAACCCAUGCUUCAUCCAACGAACUCAACAACUAGUUGUCCGCACCCCUGGUCUAGAGACCCGGCUUCGAAAUCCUCAGGUGCAGACUAUUGGGCCCAGCCCAAAAGGCGUUCAUCCUCACAUCCCAACCUUCUUUGCCCUUGGAAAACAGUAUCUCUGCUCUAUUGCAAUGACAAUCUCCCCAAAUCGCUGGGGGUGCCUUCAUCACAUUCUCAUCAGAAAACUGGGGCUACGACUGCAUCCAACUCAGAGAAGCUGCCACAGGCUGGGGAUGCAACAUGCCCCACCGUCCACGGAUUAUUUCAGAUGGGAAAAAAGCCCUGGGAAACAAUCCCGGUGAGAGUGCCAAUGCCAGAGAGAACCAGCCAGGAUCAAAGGGCAAGACAGAUUCCCAUUGGCUUACACCUUCAAGACAAAACUCUACAUGUCCCUGACCACCAGGUGAUAUUUCCUCUCCAUCCAAAGGAUCCUUCACAUCCUAUUGCCCAGGUCUCGCUUCAAAUGGAACAAGAGCACAGGAAAACAGUACCACUAAGAACAGAGCACCAGGCCACACACCCUGCAGGUCAGGAUCACUGGGCCAUCCCUCCUUUCCUGGGCAUAGAUGGCCAGAAAACAAUUCUGUUUGUCCCUCGCUACAGGGCCACACCUCCUCCCAGCCCUAAUCAGCAGGCUGAAGACAUACCAAGCCCUGUUGCUUAUACAUUGAAAACCACAGCACCAAAAACCCAGCCCCAGGCCACAACUCUACCAGGGACUGGUCAGCAUCUUCGGACGGCACCUCCAGUGGUCUCUUACAGGCCAGACAUCCACCUGCUUGGCAUCAAACCCCAAGCCACAACUACAUUCACUUCAGACUACCAGAUUGGGAAAAUUGUGAAUGCUAAUGCUCAGCUAAAAAGUAAGCCAAACCCAGAACUAUGGGAAACAAUGAUAGAGGGAACAGACCAGAAGAACAUCAAUCCUUUUGUAUGGGGUUAUGGGACAAACUCUACUCUGCAGAGUACAGAUAACAGGGCAACAGCUGUACCUAGUUUUAACCAUUGGGUAGCCCUUCCACCCUUCUCUGGACUUCAGACUAAAACUAUCUUUGACCCAAAUGUCCAGUUCUCACUUCAACCAGAACAAAAACACCAUGAAGCAAGGCAAUCAGGAAUACACCAACAGCCUACGUCUCUAACAGGACAAAAUCAAAGGACAACUACAAAUCUCCCAGGCUUAGAUGACCAGAAAACAACUGUAUCUGAUUCUAGCCACUGGGCAACCCUGGUCAAGGUUCCUCCUAGGCCUGAACAGCAGCCAACUGUGUCUUCAGCAGGCCCAGCUGCACAAGUCUUUCUUCAGCUUGAACGAGAGAAUAUGGAACCAAUGCCAUUGAGAAAAGAAAUCCAGAAUCCUACUCUAACCAACCAGGAUCUCAUGUUAGUAUCUUCACUGGACUUAAACGCUCAAGACCCAACUCUACUCAUCUCAAAACACCAAGGCAUACCUCUAACUAAUCCUGCUCACCAGCCUGAGAAUACACUGGGAGAUCCUAAAGCCCAAGUCUCACGGCGAGAAGAAUUCAAACAAUGUGAAAUAACACCAGAGGGAAUAGACCAGCAGACCACAAAUCCCACUAAACAAGGCCAAGGGGCAACACUUCCCUUGAGCACUGAGGUCCAGGAAAUAUCUUUCCCUGGCCCUGACCACCGGACCAUAUCUACACCCAACCCUGACCACCAGACUGAGAAUAUUCCAGACUCUGAGAAGCAGGACUCUGGGCAAGUCAACUUAGAAUACAGUGAAAUGAUAAAGCCAGCAGCAGAGCAGCAGACCAAGAAUCCCACUGGUAAUGAUCAUGGUGCAAUACUUCAUCCCCUGCACACAGAUAAACAGGAGACACUUCUGUGUGGGCCCAGUCACCAGGCCAUGUCUCAUCUUGGGCAGAACACUUUGAUUGAGGAUAUAGAGGAUUCAGUUCAACCAGAAGAACCACAUUGUCAAAUGGUUCCACCUAGAACAAAUCAACAGACUAUAAAUUCCGCUGGGCAGGAUCAGGGGGAAAUAACCCUGACUCUGGGCACAGAGAAUCAGGAGACAAUUCUCUUGGACUCUAGGCAUCAAACUAAAACUUCUCUUGGCCCUGACUUUAGGGCUGUAGGUACAGCAGAAUCUGGGACUGGGCCCCCAUGUAAAACAAAACAGGAAAACAAAGAAAGAACACAACUAGGAAGGGAGCACCAGGCUACAACUCUCCCAGACCACAAUUUUUGGGCAACAAGAACUCCACUGGGCUCUGACCUCCAGGAUAAAAGCCGACUUGCCUCUGGAAACCAUGGUUCACUUCCACAGAACUCUGACCAAAAUGUGCAUACACCCCAUCUUAUCACCGAUAUUUUGAUACAAACAGAACAAGAUCUCCAGGAAGCAAUGCCGGUGAGAAGAGAUCCACAGGUCACAAGUAGGACUGUCUGUGAUCACCAGGAAACACCACUUCUACCUGGACCUAACCACCAGGUCAAAUGUUCUCCCAACCCUUCUCUGCCUAAACCUCCCAUUUCAAUUAAAAAAGACCAAGUCCAGAGGGAAACAUUGCCAAAGAAACCCAACCACCCAGAUUUAGCUCUUUCUGACCUGGAGUGCAUGGUCACACCUACAUUGGACUCCCAAGAUGAAAUGGUGAGUUGCCCUGGCUAUAGGACCGCCCCUCCACAGUGCUUUGAUGAUCAAGCUAAGGAUACAGUAGACCCCCUUGUCCCAACCUGGGAUCCAACAGAGCAAGAGCCCAGGAAAACAAGGUCAAUGACAAUAGAUCAAGAGGCCAUGAAUGUAACAGAUCUGUAUGAGGGGGAAGCCACACCGCCUUCGGACUUGGAAUCCCAGGACACAACUCAGUCUAGAUCUGAACACCAGACCACACCUCUGUACAGCCCUGACCACCUGGAUGAGAAGAAAGCUAAUAAAUGGGAAGUAAUGCCCCAGGAAAGAGACCAGCAGGCCACAGUGCGAACGGACCAGGGAUUCAGGACAUCACCGCCACGGCUGACUGACCCCCAGGACAAAAAUCCGCCUCGCUCUGACCACCAGACCAUACCUCCUGCUAGUCCAUUAGAAGCUUCUUCAGAUUCUGACCCCCAGAACAUCACUCCAUCAGAUCAUAAACGUGUAGCAAAACGGUCAGUGAGUCCAGAUCACCAGGUCACCCCCCCCCUCAGCCUUGACUCUCAAGUUACUUCUCCAGCCAGCUCAGCUCAGCAGGUUGAGGCUAGAUUAGACUCUACCAAACCCCAGGGCCCUAAACACAGGACUGUACAGUCCUCAGGUUCUGGCCUCAAGAAUAAAUCUCCAAGAGGUCAGGGCCCCCAGGCUGAAGAUGAGCCAAACUCUGACCCUGAAGAUCAUAAUCAAUCAGAAUCCCAACAUCAGACCCAGCUGGCACCAAAAAAAAAGUCUUUUAAAUGUUUAAAUUACCUCAAACCAUAUAUUGUGGAGGGGGGGCAAGUCUCUGACAGUAAAGUUCAGGACAUUGUCAGUUCUAUCCCUCAGGAGAAAAUAAAAAACGAUGUCUAUAAACAAAUUCUUCUACGAAAGAAGAGGAAAUUCUCACCUCACAGUUCUAGUCGAUACAGUUCAUCUUAUUAUCCUGUCUGUUUAGUUUGUGCUUCUUGGAUCCCAGAUGGCUGUCCCCAUGAGGGAAUGAAAUACCCCUCUGAAGCACAGUUAAUGGUCAUACCUAUACCUAUGCCAGGCACUGAGGAACUGGGGGUGAAAUUUAUCCUCCAAGUGCCUCAUAAGACACCAUGCCCCUAUUUUGAUUUUCCUUACUCCGACUAUAGUCUGGAAAGGUAUCCCCAUGACUCCCAAACUUUUACAGUAUCAUCUUACUCUGACCCUGAGCUCCCGAGGCCUUCUAGGCCAAAGUGGCUCCAUUUCAUACUUGACAAGCCUCAGCGUCCAGAGAGGAGAAACCAAGAACCAGUAUUCAGAGAGGAAAUGCCCUUGAAGAGGUGUGGUCUCAGAGAAGAGGAGGCCAGGGAAGAUAGAACAUUUUUCAAAUCUUUGCUGGAUAGAUUUCAGUGGAGGUUGGGAGAUUAAAUGAUUAUAUAUUCUAUUUGAAAGGAAUUGGCCCCCUUUAUGAUUGAAAUGCCUUAUUUUAUAGAUCACACAUGUUAUUUUAUGAAAUAAGAUUGAGAAAUGCUGAGUCUUUUUUUAAAAAAAAAUUAUUUUAAAGUAUUUUUCCAAGGUUACAUGAUUCAUGUUCUUUCCCUCUCCUUUUCCCCUUCCCCCUCCCAGAGCUGACAAGCAAUUCUACUGGGUUAUACCUUUAUACUCAAUACCCAUUUCCAUAUUAUUCAUUUUUGUAAUAAGAGUAAUUUUUUAAACCCCAUAUCCUAAAUCCUAUUCCCAUAUAAACGAGUGAUAAAUCAUGUUUUUCUUCUGUGUUUCUACUCCCACAGUUCUUUCUCUAGAUGUGGAUAGUGUUCUGUUUCAUAAGCCCCUCUGGAUUGUCCUGGAUCAUUGCAUUGCUAUUAGUAGCAAAGUUGAUUACAUUUGAUUGUCCCAUAAUGUUUCAUUUACUGUGUAUAAUGUUCUCCUGUUCUCUGCUCAUUUCACUCCAUAUCAGUCUUCCCGGUUUUUAUAGAAAUCAAACAGUUCAUCAUUCCUUAUAGCACAAUAGUAUUCUAUUACCAUCAUAUGCCACAAUUUAUUCAGCCAUUCCCUAAUUGAAGGGCAUCCCCUCAUUUUCCAUUUUUUGCCACUACCAAUAGCACAGCUAUAAAUAUUUUUGUACAAACAUUUUUUUUUGUUUCUUUGGGACAAACCCAGUAGUGGGUAUGCUUGAUCAAAGGGCAGGCAGUCUUUUAUUUUAUUUAAAUUUUUAAAUUUUAUUUAAUUGAUUAAGAAAAAUUUUUCAUGGUUACAUGAUUCAUAUUCUUUCCCUCCCCUCCUCCCAUAGCCAAUGUGCAAAUCCACUAGGUUAUGCAUGUGUCAUUGAUCAAGACAAAAUUCCAUAUUAUUGAUAUUUGCACUAGGGUGAUUGUUUAGACUUGAGUCUACAUCCCCAAUCAUAGCCCCACCGACUCAUGUGAUCAAG
Molecule: long non-coding RNA, 6665 nt
Organism: Monodelphis domestica (gray short-tailed opossum)
Lineage: Eukaryota; Metazoa; Chordata; Mammalia; Didelphimorphia; Didelphidae
Source: Ensembl